CAAUAGCGUAUAUUUAAGUUGCUGCAGUUAAAAAGCUCGUAGUUGGAUUUCGGGUGGGAAUGGCCGGUCCGCCGUUUCGGUGUGCACUUGCUACGCCCACCUUGCUGCCGGGGACGUGCUCUUGAGUUCACGCUCGGGACACGGAGUCGGCGAGGUUACUUUGAGUAAAUUAGAGUGUUCAAAGCAGGCCUACGCUCCGAAUACAUUAGCAUGGAAUAACACGAUAGGACUCUGGCCUAUCUUGUUGGUCUGUAGGACCGGAGUAAUGAUUAAGGGGGACAGUCGGGGGCAUUCGUAUUUCAUUGUCAGAGGUGAAAUUCUUGGAUUUAUGAAAGACGAACUACUGCGAAAGCAUUUGCCAAGGAUGUUUUCAUUAA
Molecule: ribosomal RNA, 377 nt
Filed under: uncultured eukaryote
Lineage: Eukaryota
Description: partial 18S ribosomal RNA
Rfam family: Eukaryotic small subunit ribosomal RNA
Source: RNAcentral